CUCCAGACUCCUACGGGAGGCAGCAGUCGGGAAUAUUGCGCAAUGGAGGAAACUCUGACGCAGUGACGCCGCGUAUAGGAAGAAGUUUUUCGGAAUGUAAACUAUUGUCGUUAGGGAAGAGAAAGGACAGUACCUAAGGAGGAAGCUCCGGCUAACUACGUGCCAGCAGCCGCGGUAAUACGUAGGGAGCGAGCGUUGUCCGGAUUUACUGGGUGUAAAGGGUGCGUAGGCGGCUAUGCAAGUCAGUAGUGAAAUCCAUGGGCUUAACCCAUGAACUGCUAUUGAAACUGCACAGCUUGAGUGAAGUAGAGGUAGGCGGAAUUCCCGGUGUAGCGGUGAAAUGCGUAGAGAUCGGGAGGAACACCAGUGGCGAAGGCGGCCUACUGGGCUUUAACUGACGCUGAGGCACGAAAGCGUGGGUAGCAAACAGGAUUAGAUACCCUUGUAC
This 448-nucleotide ribosomal RNA is filed under the name uncultured bacterium. RNAcentral describes it as "partial 16S ribosomal RNA". It matches the Rfam family "Bacterial small subunit ribosomal RNA", at positions 329 to 793 of the family's 1533-position model. The record is from RNAcentral.